This 376-nucleotide long non-coding RNA is filed under the name Hordeum vulgare. RNAcentral's name for it is "long non-coding RNA (HVUL_LNC012369)". The record is from RNAcentral. Lineage: Eukaryota; Viridiplantae; Streptophyta; Magnoliopsida; Poales; Poaceae.
GUUGGUAUGCAUAUUUUUCCCAUUCGAGGAUAUCCAAUUGUUGUUAUUUGGCUUUAUAUUUGUUUUGGCCAAUUGGAUAUACAAGAAUGCAUAAGUACCUUUCUCUAGCUAUCUAUGCGUUCUCGUCUCAAAUUCUAUUCAUGCUUCAUCACAAAAUUUGAGCAAGCACUUUAUGGAUACUCUGUGUGAGGAGCACUCGGAGAUCCGUCUCGAGAAGGGCUGAAUUCCAAAACCUCCGAAAAUGCAUUUCAGUGUGACCAACCUCAAAAUAUCGGUCCCACCGAAGCCUAGGGUUGAUCUGGUUUUCUCAUCUCGGUACCAUCAGAUCUUUCUUUUAGGCCUCACCGAGUUUCUGUGUUAGCUCACAGUUGAGGAA